RNAcentral lists this long non-coding RNA (392 nucleotides) under Citrus maxima (pomelo). Its description in RNAcentral is "long non-coding RNA (CMAX_LNC002323)". The record is from RNAcentral. Lineage: Eukaryota; Viridiplantae; Streptophyta; Magnoliopsida; Sapindales; Rutaceae.
UCUCAAUUUAUUUAUGCACUUAAAAAGCUGGACAUGUAGAUCACAAAACCUUAACAUACACAUUGCGCUAGGCACACAUCAUUAUAAUUACAGGAUCUGAACAUCAAUGACCUUGCGCUCCACAUGGGUCUUAGGAAUUGAAAUGUAAAGAACACCAUUCUUCAGCUCUGCAUCUCAAUUUAUUUAUACACUUACAAAGCUGGACAUGUAGAUCACAAAACCUCAACAUACACAUUUCGCCAGGCACUCAUUAUUAUAAUUACAGAAUCUGAACAUCAAUGACCUUGCGCUCCACCUUUGUCUUAGGAAUUGAAAUGUAAAGAACACCAUUCUUGAGCUCUGCCUUGACCUUAUCUUUCUCACAGUUAUCAGGAAGCUGGAGACGAGUAUCG